This 158-nucleotide ribosomal RNA is filed under the name uncultured Caulobacter sp. RNAcentral describes it as "partial 16S ribosomal RNA". It matches the Rfam family "Bacterial small subunit ribosomal RNA", at positions 351 to 538 of the family's 1533-position model. Lineage: Bacteria; Pseudomonadati; Pseudomonadota; Alphaproteobacteria; Caulobacterales; Caulobacteraceae. The record is from RNAcentral.
CCUGCCUGGAUGAUAGGCGAAGCUGACGCAGCCAUGCCGCGUGAAUGAUGAAGGUCUUAGGAUUGUAAAAUUCUUUCACCGGGGACGAUAAUGACGGUACCCGGAGAAGAAGCCCCGGCUAACUUCGUGCCAGCAGCCGCGGUAAUAAAUUAUGCCAG